GCGGCGGACGGGUGAGUAAUACUUAGGAAUCUACCUAGUAGUGGGGGAUAGCACGGGGAAACUCGUAUUAAUACCGCAUACGACCUACGGGAGAAAGGGGGCAGUUUACUGCUCUCGCUAUUAGAUGAGCCUAAGUCGGAUUAGCUAGAUGGUGGGGUAAAGGCCUACCAUGGCGACGAUCUGUAGCUGGUCUGAGAGGAUGAUCAGCCACACCGGGACUGAGACACGGCCCGGACUCCUACGGGAGGCAGCAGUGGGGAAUAUUGGACAAUGGGGGAAACCCUGAUCCAGCCAUGCCGCGUGUGUGAAGAAGGCCUUUUGGUUGUAAAGCACUUUAAGCAGUGAAGAAGACUCCGUGGUUAAUACCCACGGACGAUGACAUUAGCUGCAGAAUAAGCACCGGCUAACUCUGUGCCAGCAGCCGCGGUAAUACAGAGGGUGCAAGCGUUAAUCGGAAUUACUGGGCGUAAAGGGAGCGUAGGUGGCUCUAUAAGUCAGAUGUGAAAUCCCCGGGCUCAACCUGGGAACUGCAUCUGAAACUGUAGAGCUAGAGUAUGUGAGAGGAAGGUAGAAUUCCAGGUGUAGCGGUGAAAU
Molecule: ribosomal RNA, 594 nt
Filed under: Psychrobacter sp. I14B-00947
Lineage: Bacteria; Pseudomonadati; Pseudomonadota; Gammaproteobacteria; Moraxellales; Moraxellaceae
Description: bacterial SSU rRNA
Rfam family: Bacterial small subunit ribosomal RNA
Source: RNAcentral